GACGUAGGGAGCAAGCGUUGUCCGGAUUUACUGGGCGUAAAGCGCGCGUAGGCGGUCCGUUAAGUGUGAAGUGAAAUCUCUAGCGCUCAACGCAGAAACUGCUUUACAUACUGGCGGACUGGAGGGAUGAAGAGGUAUGUGGAAUUCCCGGUGUAACGGUGAAAUGUGUUGAUAUCGGGAGGAACACCCAUGGCGAAGGCAGCAUACUGGUCAUCUCCUGACGCUGAGGUGCGAAAGCGUGGGUAGCAAACAGG
This 254-nucleotide ribosomal RNA is filed under the name uncultured bacterium. Its description in RNAcentral is "partial 16S ribosomal RNA". It matches the Rfam family "Bacterial small subunit ribosomal RNA", at positions 524 to 776 of the family's 1533-position model. The record is from RNAcentral.